ACCUCUGCAAUAGGCGAAAACCUGACAGGGUUACUCUGAGUGACUUUCGUUAAGAGAGUCUUUUGGCACCUCUAAAAAGGGUGUAGAAUAAGGGGUGGGCAAGUCUGGUGUCAGCCGCCGCGGUAAUACCAGCACCCCGAGUGGUCGGGACGAUUAUUGGGCCUAAAGCAUCCGUAGCCGGUUCUGCAAGUCCUCCGUUAAAUCCAACUGCUUAACAGAUGGGCCGCGGAGGAUACUACAGAGCUAGGAGGCAGGAGAGGCAAGCGGUACUCAGUGGGUAGGGGUAAAAUCCGUUGAUCCAUUGAAGACCACCAGUGGCGAAGGCGGCUUGCCAGAAUGCGCUCGACGGUGAGGGAUGAAAGCUGGGGGAGCAAACCGGAUUAGAUACCCGGGUAGUCCCAGCCGUAAACGAUGCAGACUCGGUGAUGGGUUGGCUUCGUGCUAACCCAGUGCCGCAGGGAAGCCGUUAAGUCUGCCGCCUGGGUAGUACGGUCGCAAGACUGAAACUUAA
RNAcentral lists this ribosomal RNA (511 nucleotides) under uncultured archaeon. Its description in RNAcentral is "bacterial SSU rRNA". It matches the Rfam family "Archaeal small subunit ribosomal RNA", at positions 346 to 859 of the family's 1478-position model. The record is from RNAcentral.